Non-coding RNA from Pelobates cultripes (western spadefoot toad), 200 nucleotides. NCBI's taxonomy places the organism in Eukaryota, Metazoa, Chordata, Amphibia, Anura, Pelobatidae. The record is from the annotation of a GenBank genome assembly.
GAGUGAGGGGGUGACUAGUGGCAGAGUGAGGGAAGGAAGGAGUGACUAGUGACAGAGUGAGGGAGGUGGUGACUGUCACUAGUCAUCACCUCCCUCACUCUGUCACUAGUCACCACCUCCCUCUGUCACUACUCCCUCCCUCCUUCUGUCAUUAGUCACCCCCUCCGUCCCUUACUCUGUCACUAGUCACCCCCUCCCUC